RNAcentral lists this transfer RNA (66 nucleotides) under Durgades nigropicta. RNAcentral describes it as "tRNA-Ser". Lineage: Eukaryota; Metazoa; Arthropoda; Insecta; Hemiptera; Cicadellidae. The record is from RNAcentral.
AGAGGAAAAUGAAUAAAAAAUAGCUUCUAACUAAUUUUUUAAGCGGUUAAAAUCCGUUUACCUCUU